This 232-nucleotide non-coding RNA is filed under the name Clostridium sp. RNAcentral's name for it is "T-box sequence". It matches the Rfam family "T-box leader". Rfam says of the family: Uncharged tRNA acts as the effector for transcription antitermination of genes in the T-box leader family. T-boxes are found upstream of many aminoacyl-tRNA synthetase genes and some amino acid biosynthetic genes usually in Gram-positive bacteria. The record is from RNAcentral. Lineage: Bacteria; Bacillati; Bacillota; Clostridia; Eubacteriales; Clostridiaceae.
UAAAAUACUAUGAAAGAGAAAAGUAUUUUAAUAGUCAUUAGUGCAGAGAUAAGUACCUAGGCUGAAAGUACUUUCUAAGUUAUUAAAAGAAGUUCCCUCUGGAGUAUCAUAGCUGAAGUUUAAGUAGGUUAUGACGUUUAAAACACGUUACGUUUUUCGAGUGGUUUGAAUUAUUUUUAAUAAAUCAAGCUACUAGGGUGGUACCGCGAAACAAAAGCCUUUCGUCCCUAGA